RNAcentral lists this ribosomal RNA (499 nucleotides) under uncultured bacterium. RNAcentral's name for it is "partial 16S ribosomal RNA". It matches the Rfam family "Bacterial small subunit ribosomal RNA", at positions 28 to 507 of the family's 1533-position model. The record is from RNAcentral.
GACGAACGCUGGCGGCGUGCCUAAUACAUGCAAGUCGAGCGAAGUUUUUCUGGUGCUUGCACCGGAAAAACUUAGCGGCGCACGGGUGAGUAACACGUAAAGAACCUGCCUCAUAGACUGGGACAACUAUUGGAAACGAUAGCUAAUACCGGAUAAUAGCAUUAACUGCAUGGUUGAUGUUUAAAAGUUGGUUUUGCUAACACUAUGAGAUGGCUUUGCGGUGCAUUAGCUAGUUGGUGGGGUAAAGGCCUACCAAGGCGACGAUGCAUAGCCGACCUGAGAGGGUGAUCGGCCACACUGGGACUGAGACACGGCCCAGACUCCUACGGGAGGCAGCAGUAGGGAAUCUUCCGCAAUGGGCGAAAGCCUGACGGAGCAACGCCGCGUGAGUGAAGAAGGAUUUCGGUUCGUAAAGCUCUGUUGUUAGGGAAGAAUGAUUGUGUAGUAACGAUACACAGUAGAGACGGUACCUAACCAGAAAGCCACGGCUAACUACGUG